Long non-coding RNA from Anastrepha ludens (Mexican fruit fly), 836 nucleotides. RefSeq lists it as uncharacterized. The transcript is spliced from 3 exons. Lineage: Eukaryota; Metazoa; Arthropoda; Insecta; Diptera; Tephritidae. The record is from RefSeq and is a predicted model, not a curated record.
CAGUCGACUAAAGUAUCGUGGACUCGACAUUGCUAGGUGUCAAAUUAAAAGAAAAAAUGCUUAACGUAAAAUUUUCUACAUAUGAAGUAGCCAAUUUAGAGUGUGGAAUAAAAUAUAUCUGAAUCAGGCGUACAAAUUCUUUUUUCGACAUUUUCUUAUAUGACCAACACAAUCUCAGAUUUUGCUGACCUCUGUUGUAAACAAAUCGCUUUCAUAUCCCAUAUUGCGUCAGAAAAUCAGAUGGUCUCCUCAAGUUAGAGGAGAGCGCAUUAGCGAUGUUGGCUACAUCUUUGCACUUCUGUGGUGGUAACGGACCAACCCACUCGGCCACGGCGGCCGUAUUUGAUGCAUUUUUUUAUAAUGAGCCACUUGCUCGUACUUGGAACACGUUACCUCACUAAAACAACUUUACUACACUUUGGUAGUUUAAUAAUAUUUCGUAGAAUUACUGCUUCAGAAACCAAACGAAUUUUAUACAUCGUUAAGGAACAAGAUUUUUAAUGUAGCAUACACUGCAGAGUACAGUUUACCAAAUUAACAAAUGCUAAAAGAAAGGUAUUUGGGUAGAGCAGUAUCGCUAAACCAUAUUACACGAAUUUCAACUACAUAUACAUAUAGUUACUUAAUGAGGUAAUAUUAAAAACUAAAACAUUGCGAUUAAUUGAGAGUCCCCCGGCAGCCUUGUGCUCCGCACAAGCAAGGAAUUUUCUCGUCCUCUAAUGGAAAUUUAUAAUCACUCUAUAGUUAUGACCUUAGCAUAGCAGUUGGGCUGUAAAAAAAAACGAAUUAAUUCCAUUAACAAGAAAGUAUCAUACAUACAAAUACUUACGUUACAA